This 672-nucleotide ribosomal RNA is filed under the name Triticum aestivum (bread wheat). RNAcentral describes it as "partial small subunit ribosomal RNA". The record is from RNAcentral. Lineage: Eukaryota; Viridiplantae; Streptophyta; Magnoliopsida; Poales; Poaceae.
CCCUUUCUCUACCACCGCCUGUUCCGCACCGUCUCCUCCAACUGGAACCGGUUCCUCACCGACCUGCCGGGGGCCGCCGCCAAGACCAAGGGCUCGGCCCCGCCGGCGGCGACGGUCUCGCUCUCGCUGCCGUUCCUCUUCGCCUUCACCUUCGACCCCGUCUCACGCCGCCUCCAGUGCCAGGCGCUCGACCCCUUCUCCCGCCACUGGCUGCUGCUGCCCCCGGUCCCCUGCGGCGCCGCGGCCGGCUCAUUCGCCGUCGUGGGCCUCCCCGCGCGCGGCGAGAUCUACGUGCUCGGCGGCGUGGAGGAGGGCGGCGACAAGGCCGUGAGCAGCGUGGCCGUCUACAGCGCGGCGACCAACGGGUGGGGGCAGGUGGCCGGCAUGAGGACGGCGAGGGGCUACAUGGCGGCCGGCGAGGUGGGCGGGCGCGUGGUGGUGGCCGGCGAGGACGGAGAGGCGGAGGUGUUCGACCCAGAGGCCGGUCGCUGGUCGCCCACGGCUCCCCGUGGCGGCGCGGCCGUGGCGAGGUACGACGCUGCGGCGGCGGGCGGCAAGCUGUACGUGACGGAGGGGUGGGCGUGGCCGUUCGAGCGCGCGCCGCGGGGCGCGGUGUACGACGCGGCGGCGGACGCGUGGUCCGACAUGGCGCGCGGGAUGCGGGAGGGGUGG